RNAcentral lists this ribosomal RNA (711 nucleotides) under uncultured Bacteroides sp. RNAcentral describes it as "bacterial SSU rRNA". It matches the Rfam family "Bacterial small subunit ribosomal RNA", at positions 8 to 715 of the family's 1533-position model. The record is from RNAcentral. Lineage: Bacteria; Pseudomonadati; Bacteroidota; Bacteroidia; Bacteroidales; Bacteroidaceae.
AGAGUUGUAUCCUGGCUCAGGAUGAACGCUAGCGGCAGGCCUAAUACAUGCAAGUCGAGCGGCAGCACGGGAGCAAUCCUGGUGGCGAGCGGCGCGCGGGUGCGGAACACGUAUGCAACCUACCCGGUACAGGGGUAUAUCCAGGAGAAAUUCUGAGUAAUCCCCCAUAAGAUCGCAGAGUGGCAUCACUUUUCGAUGGAAGGAUUUAUCCGGUACCGGUUGGGCAUGCGUCUGAUUAGCUAGUUGGUGAGGUAACGGCUCACCAAGGCGACGAUCAGUAGCUGGUCUGAGAGGAUGAUCAGCCACACUGGCACUGAGACACGGGCCAGACUCCUACGGGAGGCAGCAGUAGGGAAUAUUGGACAAUGGGCGAAAGCCUGAUCCAGCCAUGCCGCGUGCAGGAAGAAGGCCCUCUGGGUUGUAAACUGCUUUUAUCUGGGGAUAAACCUAUUCUAUACGGAUAGCUGAAGGUACCAGAUGAAUAAGCACCGGCUAACUCCGUGCCAGCAGCCGCGGUAAUACGGAGGGUGCAAGCGUUGUCCGGAUUCAUUGGGUUUAAAGGGUGCGUAGGCGGGCCUAUAAGUCAGUGGUGAAAGCUCAGGGCUCAACUCUGGAUGUGCCAUUGAUACUGUAGGUCUUGAGAGCAGACGAGGUAGCUGGAAUGUGUAGUGUAGCGGUGAAAUGCAUAGAGAUUACACAGAACACCAAUUG